CCCACUGGAUCCAUAUGCCUUUCCAUACAGGAGGAGGUAAAGUCUUCUGUCAAGUGCCCUCUGUAAAGACCUAAAGGAAACAAAUUCAGAUGUCAUAAUUAUUAUACUCAAGGUCCCAUUAAUGUAUAAUUAUUAUACUCAAGGUUCCAUUAUUAUACUCAAGGUUCCAUUAUUAUACUCAAGGAUCCAUACGAGGUUGUUACAUUUAAAUCUCUGAUCUUCAAUUUGUUACCACAAAAUCACUCAUUUUAAAAACAUUAAAUUACCCCUCAAGCAAUUUUCCAUCCAUUUCUCCAGCAUAACUAAUACAUGUCAGUACCACGAUAUAAAAAUAAGAAAUUAAGAUAAAAAGUGCCACAUAAGAUAUUCACAAAAUUAUCUUUCAUCACACACCUCAUGUUGGAGAGAGAGAGAGAAUGUUAUUAAUAUUUUAUAUGAUACUUUGAUUUUUUUAAAAUUUCUUAUUUCUGUACUGUGGCACUGUUCCAUAUCAGUUCUAUUGGACAAAUGAACGGAAAAUGUCCAGAGUGAUUUUUAUGAGACAUUUUAAAAAAUGAGAGACUUUUGUCUAACAAAUUGAAAAUGAGGGAAUAAAGAGUAACAACCUCCAAAACUGAGGGACGACUGAUAUAAAGCCCUCUAGGUUCCUAAGAGAUGAGCUCAAUAUGAUUUAAGCUAUUCUAUUAAGGAAAAGGAGGAAAAGGAAAAACACCCAAGCAUGCGUAUGCACAAAAAGAAAAAAGAGAUUUCAUCAGCCAGUGUAGAGAUUUUGCCCUGAGAUCUGAGUUCUUAGAUAACUUUAGAAAAAAAUGGAGGAUUGUUAUAAAAGGAACAAAUAUCCAGUGCUGUAUUAAGGUGAAUCAAAUUCACCAGAUACUGUAGUGCUAGAUC
This 891-nucleotide long non-coding RNA is filed under the name Manihot esculenta (cassava). RNAcentral describes it as "long non-coding RNA (MESC_LNC002632)". Lineage: Eukaryota; Viridiplantae; Streptophyta; Magnoliopsida; Malpighiales; Euphorbiaceae. The record is from RNAcentral.